CAGAGACAUAACUUUCUGCAGUACCAGCUGCAGCUCUGGGUUCCAUUUCCCUUGGAAAUAGGAUGGGAGAAAGAGACAGGUAACGGACUGGAAUUAGGAGACUGAGGUGAAACUGUAGAGAAUAAUGGUUAGAAGUACAUGUGCCGGAUUCUCUCAUUAAGGAAAUAUUCAUGAGUCAACUAUCCAGAAUCAUAGUUAUUAUUCAAGCGGUGUGGGUUUAAAAGGAGAUUUGAUGCCAUGGCAAACCUCACUGACUUAGACUGUUCUUCAAGUUAAAGAGCAGGAUGAUGUCUGAAGUGACUGAAACACAUAUGGCUUCAGUGUGUCAAGAAGACCUGAAAGAUCCCACAUGGAAGUGAAAUUCAUUAUUGGCAAGCACAGUGACAGGAGACCCCAGAGGGCUGAGCCACAAAGAAUUUGCAGAGCCGCAUGGCUAACUCCAUGGCCUAGUUUGAUCUUGAAGUUAUUGUCUUGGAUAAUCCUCUCCAAUCUGUUCCUGCACUUAAGAGCUAUUCAGCACAUGAUGGAGCUCCCUCUCAGGUUCCUUUACAUCGUCCUGUCAGGGAAGACUUUCGGGGAACACAGACAUCACAUCAAAUCAUCCAACAGAUGUCCCUUUCAAAUAAGUUGGAGUGGAACCAACUAUAUGGAGAAGUCAUAAACAAGGAAACAGACAACCUAGUGAUUUUUAGUGCAUUGGCACUGCUCUUUGCACAGAAACCUCAGUCUCCGGGGUGGAUGAACAUUUCAAGUGUGUGUGUGUGUACUGUGUGGACUGACUCUUGCCCUGCUCAGGCUCAUGCUGCUGACAGGGGAUACAGGAGACACUUUGGAGUCCAAAUCCUGCAUCAUCUCAAUGAAGUGCAAUGUCACAGCUCUAAGUAA
Saimiri boliviensis boliviensis (Bolivian squirrel monkey) is the source of this 885-nucleotide long non-coding RNA. RefSeq annotates it as chromosome unknown C15orf54 homolog. NCBI's taxonomy places the organism in Eukaryota, Metazoa, Chordata, Mammalia, Primates, Cebidae. The record is from RefSeq and is a predicted model, not a curated record.